CUGUACAGGAGAGUAAGCAGUAAAGCAACACACACUGAGAUCAAAUCAGAUUUUAUUUGUCACGUUUCCUAAACAACAUGUGUGGACUAACAGUGAAAUGCUGACGUCCCCUUCCCAACAACGCAGAGAGAAACAAAAUAGAGAAAUAAUAGAAAAGUAAUAAUAAAUAAGCAAUGAGUAACAAUAACUUGGCUAUACACACAGAGUUUAUAGAGACAUACCCCAAGAGACUUGCAGCUGUAAUUGCUGCAAAAGGUGGCUCUUCAAGGUAUUGCCUUUGUGGGGGUGAAUAAUUAUGCACGCUCAAGUUUUCUGUUUUUUUUGUCUUACUUCUUGUUUGUUUUACAAUAAAACAUAUUUUGCAUCUUCAAAGUGGUAGGCAUGUUGUGUAGAUCAAAUGAUACAACCCCCCCCCCAAAAAAAUCCAUUUAUAUUCCAGGUUGUAAGGCAACAAAAUAGGAAAAAUGCCAAGGGGUGAAUGCUUUCGCAAGCUACUGUACCUAUCUCUGUCUGUCUGUAUGUCUCUCUCACUUUUACUAUCUCUCUCUAUCCAUCUCCCUCUGUCUCUCUUCCCUCUCUUUGUCUGUCCAUCUCACUCUGUGUCUCUCUCUAUACCUGGUUAUAAGAUGCAUCCUUUGUCCUGAUCUUGUCCACAUUCUUAUUGUGCCCACAUUUCCAGACAGGUGUAGAUGAUUAAAAGACACAUUGUGUUCUGAUUGAGUUCAGAUCUUCCUGACCACCUUCGUAGGUAGUAAGGCACUCAUUGUGUCUGGAUAUCUUACAAAUGUAGACGGAUCUGGACAGUGAAACCAUUUAAAUCGUCAUUGUCCUGUCUUCUAAAAUCAUUGACACGUGGCACCAUUGACUUAUAUCAUCAAUAUCUGUCUUAAAAUAAAUCAGAAUUAUUUUGACAAAUAAAUUGCUUACAGGGAGUGACAGGGAAAUGUGGUCACAAUGCAGACACAGUGGGCGGAUAAGAGACACAUUUUGAUACCAUGUAUAAACAUAUUUCUGACAAUGUGGGCACAAUGUAUAAACAAGGCUUCUGUGUGAAUGUCACCCCAUCUCUCUCCCUCCUCAAUCUCUCUCUUGCCUCUCUGUCUCCUCAUUUCUCUCUUGUCUCUCUGUCUCCUCAAUCUCUCUCUCUCUCUCUCUCUCUCUCUCUCUCUCUCUCUCUCUCUCUCUCUCCGUGCUCCACUUCUCUUGUUGGCUGUCUGCCAGGGACUGGCGCCCCACUGUGAAAGCACCUGUACUAGCUCUCCAGGCUGAUUGCCAGGCCUGUACAGGGGGUCAAGAAACUUACGGUGGGAGUCGUCUAAGGUCCAAUCUGGCCCAAGCAGUCUGCCUAACACCAACCCAGUGCCCAGAGAGGGCGAGAAACUGUCAUAACACCGGCAAGGCUGCCAGGACUGGUCGUCACGGAGAUGUUGUUCUCACGUGAUUAACAUCACUAAAUGUGUGACACUGUUUCAGUGUAGGGCAAGUGGGCCUCUGAGAGAGAUACUGGCUGUCCUUUAGAAUGAGCAAAACUUCAUUAAUCUUUCUACAGCGCUUGUUCUCCCCCUUCUUGUCCCAAGUAUCAACAACCAUUAUCUGGGUCAUAGGAUAAUCUUUACUGUCUUAAAAAAUAUUCUGUCUGUGUGUGUGUGUGUGUGUGUGUGUGUGUGUGUGUGUGUGUGUGUGUGUGUGUGUGUGUGUGUGUUUAUGUGUGUGUGUGCGCGCGCGUGUGUGUGUGUGUGUUCUUAAACCUGUAAACCUUUUCAUUUCCCAGAAGGGUCAGCUCCAACAGCGCCUGGACAAUGUGGAGAGGGACUUCCUCAUCUUCAACAGAGAAAGGUCAAAGAAGGCUGUAGUGGGAACAGAAGCAACAGGCCUCACCACGGCAGAGAAGAACAAGGCUAUUGAAGACGGACAGAACAACAACGUGGACCCAGCAGCCUACAUAUCAGGAUAGUGGACUACGGCUUUAGCCCGAAGUCGCUACGUGUAUCUGGCCGCAGCUUGUAGAUCAACACCCAAUCUCCCACUCAGAUUGACCUUUAACCCUGACACAUUCCCCAACAGCCAGCCACUAUACCCAGACUGCUGGAGGUCACAUAAACUACUACUUUACAGAGUGAGUGGCACCUGACAUAAAGCAGACAGACAGACCCUGGCUCGUUCUUCUUUUCCUAGCCCAGAGAUGUGGCCUCUCAGUGGUCACCCCUUCUUACACUCUGCCCUACCCUGACUUGGUCUGACUUUGCCUGAUGCACCAUGAUCCCCUGGAGCUCCCCUCCCUCCACCAAGUCAGCCAGGCCCAGAAAAUGAUUUGCCUGCCAACCCAGCAGGAAGCAGAGACAGACAGGAUACAGCCACCAUGCCUGCUAAGCUGAGGCUAGGCUCAGGCCAGGAAGAAAAUGAAGCCUGAUGUUGACAAAUAGGAUACUAUGUUUGCAGUACAUGAAAACAGAGAAAGGGGGUGUAAGUUGCCUCACAAAAAAUGAAUAAUAAUUAGAGAUGAGAUAUACUGCCUUUGUUUUCAAGACACCAACCACAGAUUCCUCUUGGAAUACAAAGGGAACCACUGACUUCAGCAGAGACAGAGUUUACUUAAUGAGUCUCUGUGAUGAUGUUAGGCAUCACUUGUGCCUCUCAAGCAAACCAAGAUGACGGGUACUUGACAUGGACAUUUGGGAUAUAAAUAUUUAUAGAUAAAUAGAUAUUUAUUGUCUGUUCCGCACAGAAAAUAGCUUUGCACACGCUUCUCCAUUAAUCGUAGAGGUCAAAGUGUAGUGUCUGAAUUCUCUUCUGUUUAAUAUAGGGGUGCCGUAUAGCUACUACUGUAUAUGGCACCUGAUUGGUUUCCCCAUGCAGACAAUGAUAAUCAUAUAUGUAGUCUAAUUGAAGUCACCAUCCUGUUGUUCAAUAUGUGCUUGAAAAAUAGCUUUGCCAGUCUUUUGACCCUUUCUGCAAUACAAUUACAUAUUAUCCAAGGCUUUCCCUGUCGCUGGUUACCAGAUCUCCUAUUGGCACCUUUAUAACAACCAUUAUCGGUACAGAUAUUCUAAUUAUUGUAGGUUUUGAUAAAUGUAUGUCAUUCAAGGGCCCAAUGAAAGCAGAGUUGUAAAAUGAGUACUCUUAUUUGGUUUUCCAUUUGUUGUCACUGUGUGGACUAUUACCUGUAAAUGUGGUCAAGCAGCGAUUAUAAAAGUUGUGCCUUAAUGUAAUACUUUUCUUUGGGACCCCGACCUUAUUAUUUUAUUAAAUACACAAAAUGAGCAGUUGGGUAACAUCUGGGAAUUCAAAAGGAAAAGUUCACCAGUGGUUGUUUUUGCUAUUGAAAAGUACCACAGUAAUAAAGUGCUUUAGGGGUUACCUAACUAA
This is a long non-coding RNA of Oncorhynchus masou masou (cherry salmon), 3366 nucleotides long. RefSeq lists it as uncharacterized. NCBI's taxonomy places the organism in Eukaryota, Metazoa, Chordata, Actinopteri, Salmoniformes, Salmonidae. The transcript has 2 exons. The record is from RefSeq and is a predicted model, not a curated record.